RNAcentral lists this long non-coding RNA (338 nucleotides) under Homo sapiens (human). RNAcentral describes it as "long intergenic non-protein coding RNA 339". The record is from RNAcentral. Lineage: Eukaryota; Metazoa; Chordata; Mammalia; Primates; Hominidae.
GGCGCUCCAAAGCUCGGGGAGUGGUGGUCUCCCUUUCCUGGAGUCAUUUGUGGGAGUUAGGGUCUUAUCCUGAUCUUUCCUCGUCCCCCGCUCCCCCGUCCUCCGAGGUGGCAGCUGCGUAGAUCGGGGGUCAUACUACACAUCGAUCGGGACCUUAGUCAUGUUGUGAUAUGGACAGCUUUCUUACCAGUACUCAUAAGCCUGCUUCAUUUUUUACGUGGCGGCACCACUGAGUGGUUGACGAAGUCUGGAACGUUUUUUCUUAGAGUUCCAGAAUUGAGACUGAAGUGUACCCAGAGACACAAAGAAAUACAGAAGUCCAGAAUGAUCAAAUGAGA